Molecule: ribosomal RNA, 544 nt
Filed under: uncultured Actinomycetes bacterium
Lineage: Bacteria; Bacillati; Actinomycetota; Actinomycetes
Description: bacterial SSU rRNA
Rfam family: Bacterial small subunit ribosomal RNA
Source: RNAcentral
UACGCUUGUUGGUGGGGUAUGGCCUACCAAGGGCGACGACGGGUAGCCGGCCUGAGAGGGCGACCGGCCACACUGGGACUGAGACACGGCCCAGACUCCUACGGGAGGCAGCAGUGGGGAAUAUUGCACAAUGGGCGAAAGCCUGAUGCAGCGACGCCGCGUGAGGGAUGACGGCCUUCGGGUUGUAAACCUCUUUCAGCAGGGAAGAAGCGAAAGUGACGGUACCUGCAGAAGAAGCGCCGGCUAACUACGUGCCAGCAGCCGCGGUAAUACGUAGGGCGCAAGCGUUGUCCGGAAUUAUUGGGCGUAAAGAGCUCGUAGGCGGCUUGUCACGUCGGAUGUGAAAGCCCGGGGCUUAACCCCGGGUCUGCAUUCGAUACGGGCUAGCUAGAGUGUGGUAAGGGAGAUCGGAAUUCCUGGUGUAGCGGUGAAAUGCGCAGAUAUCAGGAGGAACACCGGUGGCGAAGGCGGAUCUCUGGGCCAUUACUGACGCUGAGGAGCGAAAGCGUGGGGAGCGAAGCGGAUUAGAUACCCUUGGUAGUCC